This 283-nucleotide ribosomal RNA is filed under the name uncultured bacterium. RNAcentral describes it as "partial 16S ribosomal RNA". It matches the Rfam family "Bacterial small subunit ribosomal RNA", at positions 335 to 605 of the family's 1533-position model. The record is from RNAcentral.
ACUCCUACGGGAGGCAGCAGUGGGGAAUAUUGCACAAUGGGCGCAAGCCUGAUGCAGCCAUGCCGCGUGUAUGAAGAAGGCCUGGUUGUGAAUGGUAAGCUUACAGUCAUGAUGAGGAAGGUAGUGGUAGUUAAUAGCUGCAUUAUUUGACGUUAGCUGCAGAAGAAGCACCGGCUAACUCCGUGCCAGCAGCCGCGGUAAUACGGAGGGUGCGAGCGUUAAUCGGAAUUACUGGGCGUAAAGCGCAUGCAGGUGGUUUGUUAAGUCAGAUGUGAAAGCCGGC